GACGAACGCUGGCGGCGUGGAUUAGGCAUGCAAGUCGAACGGUAUCAUCCUUUCGGGGGUGAGAGAGUGGCGAACUGGUGAGUAACACGUAGGUUAUCUACCCUCAAGACGGGGACAACCCAGGGAAACUUGGGCUAAUACCGGAUGUGAGCAACUUUUAGUUGUUUGAAAGGUGGCGUAAGCUGUCGCUUGGGGAUGAGCCUGCGUCCUAUUAGUUAGUUGGUGAGGUAACGGCUCACCUAGGCAAUGAUAGGUAGGCGGCCUUAACGGGUGGUCGCCCACACUGGGAUUGAGAUACGGCCCAGACUCCUACGGGAGGCAGCAGUCGAGAAUAGUCUACAAUGGUCGGAAGACUGAUAGUGCGACGCCGCGUGAACGAUGAAUCCCUUCGGGGUGUAAAGUUCUUUUAUAUGUGAGCAGUGCUUCUAUAUUAACAGUAUGGGGAAGAGAUAUUAGCAUAUGAAUAAGCAACGGCUAACUCCGUGCCAGCAGCCGCGGUA
RNAcentral lists this ribosomal RNA (500 nucleotides) under uncultured bacterium. RNAcentral's name for it is "bacterial SSU rRNA". It matches the Rfam family "Bacterial small subunit ribosomal RNA", at positions 28 to 522 of the family's 1533-position model. The record is from RNAcentral.